UACAGAGACUGCAAGCGUUAUUCGGAUUCACUGGGCGUAAAGGGUGCGCAGGCGGUUGGGUGUGUGAGAUGUGAAAUCCCGAGGCUUAACCUCGGAACUGCGUCUGAAACUACUCGACUAGAGUACUGGAGAGGGUAACGGAAUUCACGGUGUAGCAGUGAAAUGCGUAGAUAUCGUGAGGAACACCAGAGGCGAAGGCGGUUACCUGGACAGUUACUGACGCUCAGGCACGAAAGCAUGGGGAGCAAAAGGG
This 253-nucleotide ribosomal RNA is filed under the name uncultured bacterium. RNAcentral describes it as "partial 16S ribosomal RNA". It matches the Rfam family "Bacterial small subunit ribosomal RNA", at positions 524 to 776 of the family's 1533-position model. The record is from RNAcentral.